RNAcentral lists this long non-coding RNA (1075 nucleotides) under Numida meleagris (helmeted guineafowl). RNAcentral's name for it is "lncRNA (ENSNMEG00000002168.1)". Lineage: Eukaryota; Metazoa; Chordata; Aves; Galliformes; Numididae. The record is from RNAcentral.
CAGCAAUGGGGACAGGGACAUGGAUGGGAGAGGACAGGUUGGGUUGGGGAUGUGGAUGAGGUGGGACAGGAAUGGGACAGCACGGGGACAGGGACAAUAAAGGGAUGGGACAAUAAAGGGAUGGGACAAUAAAGGGAUGGGGACAGAGAUCGAGUGAGGAUGUGGAUGGAAUAGGACAGGAGAGAGAUGGGGACAGGGACAUGGAUGGGAUGGGGACAAGGAUGGUAUGGGGACAUGGAUGGAGUGAGACAGGAUAGGGACAGGGACGUGGAAGGGAGGGGACAGGUUGGGUUGGGGACGUGGAUGAGGUGGGACAGGGAUGGGACAGCACGGGGACAGGGACAUGGACGGGAUGGGGACAUGGAUGGGAUGGGACAGUAAAGGGAUGGGGACAGAGGUGGAGCGAGGAUGUGGAUGGAAUAGGACAGGACAGGGAUGGGGACAGGGAUGGGGAUGUGGAUGGGGACACAGAGAGCAAGGAUGUGGAUGGAUUAGGAGAGGAUAAAGUUGGGGACAGGGACAUGGAUGGGGACAGGGAUGGGGACAUGGAUGGGACAGACACAGGGAAGGGGUGGGCACAGCGUGGGGAAAGGGACAGGACGGGAGCUGGGGACAGGGACAGGGAUGGGGACAGGGACGUGGAUGGCAUGGGACAGGAUGGGAAUGGGGGACAUGGGAUGGGAUGGGAUGGGACAUGGCUAGAGACAGGGAUGGGGACAUGGAUGGGACAGACACAAGGAAGGGGUGGACAGUGCGUGGGGAACGGGACAGGACGGGAGCUGGGGACAGGGACGUGGGAUGGGGCCGGGCGGGGGCUGUCCCCACGCGGGGGUGUCCCCGCGUCCCCCAACGCCGCCGUCCUCGCAGUGCCCGGUGCUGAAGGGACGCGUGCAGAAGAUCCUGUACUGGCGGUGGGGGGAGCCGCCCCCGCCCGUGGCCGUGCCUCCCCCCGAGGGCCCCCCCGAGGGCCCCCCCAAAGUGCUGCAGGGCCGCUCGGAGCGAGAGUUCUUCGUCAAAUGGGUGGGGCUGUCCUACUGGCACUGCUCCUGGAUCAAGGAGCUGCAGGUACCGGGGG